GAUGAACGCUGGCGGCGUGCCUAAUACAUGCAAGUCGAGCGAACGGACGAGAAGCUUGCUUCUCUGAUGUUAGCGGCGGACGGGUGAGUAACACGUGGAUAACCUACCUAUAAGACUGGGAUAACUUCGGGAAACCGGAGCUAAUACCGGAUAAUAUUUUGAACCGCAUGGUUCAAAAGUGAAAGACGGUCUUGCUGUCACUUAUAGAUGGAUCCGCGCUGCAUUAGCUAGUUGGUAAGGUAACGGCUUACCAAGGCAACGAUGCAUAGCCGACCUGAGAGGGUGAUCGGCCACACUGGAACUGAGACACGGUCCAGACUCCUACGGGAGGCAGCAGUAGGGAAUCUUCCUCAAUGGGCGAAAGCCUGACGGAGCAACGCCGCGUGAGUGAUGAAGGUCUUCGGAUCGUAAAACUCUGUUAUCAGGGAAGAACAUAUGUGUAAGUAACUGUGCACAUCUUGACGGUACCUAAUCAGAAAGCCACGGCUAACUACGUG
RNAcentral lists this ribosomal RNA (497 nucleotides) under uncultured bacterium. Its description in RNAcentral is "partial 16S ribosomal RNA". It matches the Rfam family "Bacterial small subunit ribosomal RNA", at positions 28 to 507 of the family's 1533-position model. The record is from RNAcentral.